This 253-nucleotide ribosomal RNA is filed under the name uncultured bacterium. RNAcentral's name for it is "partial 16S ribosomal RNA". It matches the Rfam family "Bacterial small subunit ribosomal RNA", at positions 524 to 776 of the family's 1533-position model. The record is from RNAcentral.
GACGGAGGAUGCAAGUGUUAUCCGGAUUCACUGGGUUUAAAGGGAGCGUAGGUGGGUAGGUAAGUCAGCGGUGAAAUACCCAAGCUUAACUUGGGAACUGCCAUUGAUACUAUCUAUCUUGAAUAUCGUAGAGGUUAGCGGAAUAUGUCAUGUAGCGGUGAAAUGCUUAGAUAUGACAUAGAACACCAAUUGCGAAGGCAGCUGACUAUGCGAAUAUUGACACUAAGGCUCGAAAGCGUGGGGAUCAAACAGG